UACAGAGGGGGCAAGCGUUGUUCGGAAUUACUGGGCGUAAAGGGCGCGUAGGUGGCCUUCUAAGUUGAACGUGAAAUCCCUGGGCUCAACCCAGGAACUGCGUCCAAGACUGGGAGGCUUGAAUCCGGGAGAGGGAUGUGGAAUUCCAGGUGUAGCGGUGAAAUGCGUAGAUAUCUGGAGGAACACCGGUGGCGAAGGCGACAUCCUGGACCGGUAUUGACGCUGAGGCGCGAAAGCCAGGGGAGCAAACGGG
RNAcentral lists this ribosomal RNA (253 nucleotides) under uncultured bacterium. RNAcentral describes it as "partial 16S ribosomal RNA". It matches the Rfam family "Bacterial small subunit ribosomal RNA", at positions 524 to 776 of the family's 1533-position model. The record is from RNAcentral.